RNAcentral lists this ribosomal RNA (596 nucleotides) under Saccharomyces cerevisiae (brewer's yeast). Its description in RNAcentral is "partial large subunit ribosomal RNA". It matches the Rfam family "Eukaryotic large subunit ribosomal RNA", at positions 47 to 657 of the family's 3401-position model. The record is from RNAcentral. Lineage: Eukaryota; Fungi; Ascomycota; Saccharomycetes; Saccharomycetales; Saccharomycetaceae.
AAAGCGGAGGAAAAGAAACCAACCGGGAUUGCCUUAGUAACGGCGAGUGAAGCGGCAAAAGCUCAAAUUUGAAAUCUGGUACCUUCGGUGCCCGAGUUGUAAUUUGGAGAGGGCAACUUUGGGGCCGUUCCUUGUCUAUGUUCCUUGGAACAGGACGUCAUAGAGGGUGAGAAUCCCGUGUGGCGAGGAGUGCGGUUCUUUGUAAAGUGCCUUCGAAGAGUCGAGUUGUUUGGGAAUGCAGCUCUAAGUGGGUGGUAAAUUCCAUCUAAAGCUAAAUAUUGGCGAGAGACCGAUAGCGAACAAGUACAGUGAUGGAAAGAUGAAAAGAACUUUGAAAAGAGAGUGAAAAAGUACGUGAAAUUGUUGAAAGGGAAGGGCAUUUGAUCAGACAUGGUGUUUUGUGCCCUCUGCUCCUUGUGGGUAGGGGAAUCUCGCAUUUCACUGGGCCAGCAUCAGUUUUGGUGGCAGGAUAAAUCCAUAGGAAUGUAGCUUGCCUCGGUAAGUAUUAUAGCCUGUGGGAAUACUGCCAGCUGGGACUGAGGACUGCGACGUAAGUCAAGGAUGCUGGCAUAAUGGUUAUAUGCCGCCCGUCUUGA